AAACAAUUAACUACUUAUUUUUAAUUUGGCUCAAAAGUUAAAAAUAUAUUUUAAGUAAGAAGUUAAACCAGUCCAUGAAACAAAUUGAACGGUACAAAUCCAAAAUCCAAAUGAUCAAAACAACAACCAAAAUGCUUCUUAACUAAGCCACGUUCCAAAAUAGAAAAUUAUAAUUUUCUGCACAAACUUAUCUCAAAAGGCAUUGUUACGAUAACUGAUGCUAUUUUGGACUUCGAAAUUCAAUCCACCAAUCUCUUACAAUCAAAAGUUGUAUUAUCGUCUCCCAUUAUUUAUGUAAGGAGUAGUUGCUCAGCUUAGAGACUGAUCCAACUAAUUUCAUACAAGACAAUGCAUGAUAGCACGAUUGAUCAGCCAAAAUGGGAAAAAAAAAUUCACAAUUUCAUUCCCACGCACAAAAAAAAAUCUCCAAGAGAGUGAAUAGGAGAAAAAUUUUAAAUUAAAAAAAAUGAAAAAGGAAAUCAGAAUGUACUAACAAAGAUGUCCAAGGAUUAGCUAGAAAAUUGCAAUAGACCAAAUUCUAGGGUUUCAGGGGGAAAAGAACCAUUAUUCAGAAAAAGGGCAGAUAAUGGAAGUUGAACCUGAGAUUGGGCAUCGAAUUGAUUACAGUCAGCAGAAAUAGACUCGUAGAUGCGUUUCCUUUGCUCAAAAACAACAAAACCCAC
RNAcentral lists this unclassified non-coding RNA (683 nucleotides) under Hevea brasiliensis (rubber tree). The record is from RNAcentral. Lineage: Eukaryota; Viridiplantae; Streptophyta; Magnoliopsida; Malpighiales; Euphorbiaceae.